This 497-nucleotide ribosomal RNA is filed under the name uncultured bacterium. Its description in RNAcentral is "partial 16S ribosomal RNA". It matches the Rfam family "Bacterial small subunit ribosomal RNA", at positions 28 to 507 of the family's 1533-position model. The record is from RNAcentral.
GAUGAACGCUGGCGGCGUGCCUAAUACAUGCAAGUCGAGCGAACAGACGAGGAGCUUGCUCCUCUGACGUUAGCGGCGGACGGGUGAGUAACACGUGGAUAACCUCCCUAUAAGUCUGGGAUCACUUCGGGAAACCGGAGCUAAUACCGGAUAAUAUAUUGAACCGCAUGGUUCAAUAGUGAAAGACGGUUUUGCUGUCACUUAUAGAUGGAUCCGCGCCGCAUUAGCUAGUUGGUAAGGUAACGGCUUACCAAGGCGACGAUGCGUAGCCGACCUGAGAGGGUGAUCGGCCACACUGGAACUGAGACACGGUCCAGACUCCUACGGGAGGCAGCAGUAGGGAAUCUUACGCAAUGGGCGAAAGCCUGACGGAGCAACGCCGCGUGAGUGAUGAAGGUCUUCGGAUCGUAAAACUCUGCUAUUAGGGAAGAACAGAUGUGGAAGUAAAUAUGGAGGUCUUGACGGUACCGAAUCAAAAAGCCACGGCUAACUACGUG